Molecule: ribosomal RNA, 253 nt
Filed under: uncultured bacterium
Lineage: Bacteria
Description: partial 16S ribosomal RNA
Rfam family: Bacterial small subunit ribosomal RNA
Source: RNAcentral
UACGUAGGGUGCAAGCGUUGUCCGGAAUUAUUGGGCGUAAAGAGCUCGUAGGCGGUUUGUCGCGUCUGCUGUGAAAAUCCAGGGCUUAACCCUGGACCUGCAGUGGGUACGGGCAGACUGGAGUGCGGUAGGGGAGAUCGGAAUUCCUGGUGUAGCGGUGAAAUGCGCAGAUAUCAGGAGGAACACCGGUGGCGAAGGCGGCGCUCUGGGCCGGUACUGACGCUGAGGAGCGAAAGCGUGGGUAGCAAACAGG